This is a long non-coding RNA of Peromyscus eremicus (cactus mouse), 6185 nucleotides long. RefSeq lists it as uncharacterized. The transcript has 2 exons. NCBI's taxonomy places the organism in Eukaryota, Metazoa, Chordata, Mammalia, Rodentia, Cricetidae. The record is from RefSeq and is a predicted model, not a curated record.
UGUAGGGAGGAACACAGGAUAAUCUACAGUCUGCUGUUUAGUGGGGCAGGGUCUUCUUUCAAUUACAGAGCCAACUUGUGACACCCUAAACACAGAAAUAGUGAGCUGACCGAACUGGGCCGCCAACGCUCAUUCCAACUUGUCUUCAGCAGUUGCCCCAGUCACUGUGGCACAAGCCAAGGGAGAACCCAGAUAUUCCUAAACGGCUUUCAGAUUGCUAAACAGAUGCCAGUCUUUAGUCCAAAGGUGGAUAAUGUGCAAGCUGGGUAGAGGAGGAUGGGUAAGGGUUGAAUCUAGAAGGGCAAAGUGAUCUUCUCUAGUUCACCUAAUUUUUGAGUUAGUUGCUUAGUGUGAUAGGUUUCUCCUUUCACAUUUGUCUUAAAAAUAUAUUCAAUGAUUUGUUUCAAACAAAAGGAAAAUCAGUCUUUCUCUCCCAUUGCCCUUUUGUCUUCUUUGAAAGAAGUUUCCAAAUCUUUCUGGAAAGCUUAAAUCCAAGUGCAGGAGUAACCUGAUUUGGGUUUGUAGCUCUUAGGAGGUUGACACUAAUCUGUGACAGUCACAACUUAGUUGUUAACAGUCACAUGACAAUGUUUUUGUUGUAUGGAAGCCAUUAUAAGAACAGAAAGAAGUCUCCUGGAGUCUGUGGUCAGUUAGCUUAGAACCUGCAGGAAGCAUGCAGACAGUAGCUGGUGAUUGUCAUCUGGUAAGAGCAGUGAAUGUGUAGGUCUACCCUGGAAGGAAAGACUGUGAGGGGCGUGUGGCUCCACCCAAGGGGGAGCACACCUAGUUCAUCUUGGAGGAAGAAAAUGUCUUCUUCAUUCUCUGUGUUGCAAUAAUCAGAUCCAGCGUCUGUCUGGGAUGAUAACGUGUAUAAUGGUGAACUCAUCCCUCAUCAGUUUCCCACAGCGUGCUCCACAUGUUUCUAUGUCACGGGCAGGGUUAGCAUUGGUGAACUGGGGAAACUUGGCAGAGCUUCAAGGUACUGUUCAUGCAGUGUGGUCCACUGACGAUGGGAACAUUUCUGUGUCGCUCAGCACUCCAGGUCUUAAAGACUUGUCUGCCACUGGUGACCUAGCUAGCCUUAUGGCUGUGUUACAGUCUGAAGCCUGUGGAUAACACCCAGGUUUUGAAGGCUUAUCCAGGGCUUUUCUAAGUCAGGCCCCAGCAGCCCUCUGGGUCUAGAUCUAUCUUGCUAAGCUCUUGCACAAUUUUUAGUCACUCUUUUUCCAGCUCCUGGUUUUGGAUCAUCUCCUCAAAGGCAUGGAACUGUUUCUGUUCUAACUGAUGCAGCUUUUGCUCUUUCCCUAGCUCUUGCUGGGUGGCCGUGUUCUGGGAAAAUUCUAACUCUUCCUUCUUCUCUUUAUAUUUUUCACAUUCUUUGGUGUGUGUAUCCAAACUGUUUCUGGUUCUUCUGCCUGGAGAAAAGCAAGUUCUUUAAUUUCUUGACUGUGUCUUCUCAGGAAUGACAACUGCUUUGUCAUCCCGCUACCUGGGGACUUGUCUAUGAAGGACUUGAUGUACUUGCUAUAGAGGAUAAAGGCAUGUUCAAUGUUGCUUUCUUCAGAGUAAACGGAUGCCAUGUAGAUGACUUGAACUCCAGAGUGGAAGCACUGACAGGGUGCAAUAUUGAAUUGCACUGUAUUCUCAAGCUUCGCCCUGUCUUUGGGUGGAAGGGUGAUAUUCCCAUGGUCAGGCAUCAGGACCAAAAGCUUCUGAUUCAGAUUUCUGCCUUCAGAAUACAGCCACAUCGGAAGAGUCUGUUGUUUCAAGUUCCAUUGUGUUUGAAGUAUCUUCUGACGCAGAUACUGUCAAGAGCAGAUGGAUACAGCAAUACGGUUUGUCUGGGUUGCUGAAGCUGAAUAGCAUGUGUGUCCAAUAUGAGGUCUGGUCACUCUCACUGGUCACUUGGGAUGAUCCAAAUUUGUUUAUGGACAACUACAUGGAAACUCCAAAGUUCUAACAGAUGCUGGUAGGUUUGAAGGGAGAACAAUGUCGUAAAGCAGACAGUAGCCAAUAGGAAGGUCAGAUUCCUAGCCAGAAAAUGGGUUGGGUGGAGAGAAUGGCAGGAGUGCUACAGCUCCCCUGAAAGGCUGGGUCUAGGCAGGUGAAAGCCUGCAAGGCAGUUACGACAGUCCCUCUUUUUCUUCCCUUUUUAGGUUAGGGAAAUCAUCUCUGCGUUUCUUAUACGUAUUCAUUAACAAAGUUACUUAUAAUUUGCAGGUGAUAUUUUCAUGUGGUUCCCCACACGGGGCCAGAUCAUGGUCGUAAGGAGCAAGACAGCCCUGGGAACAAAUUGCCAAGUGUGAGUGAGGUGCUAAGGCAGGAGGCCCUUCAGAAGACUGAUGUCUUGAGGAGAGAUGGGAAAGGAGAUCAGUGCUGCUGUUUGCUUUUGUCAGAGAAGCAUCUCUUUGCUCUGGGCAGCAGUUAGUGAAGAGGCUCACACAUACCUGGUCAAAAAUCAGAGACUCUUUGGGGUGCUCAGCCCUAAAUGGGGCAUUAUCACCCCCUCCAAGGCUCAGGGAACUUUGCGGAAGAGGGGCCGGAAAGAAUGUAAGAGCCAGAGGAAGGGGUGGAGUGAUGGAGAGUCCUGUCUUCCAGGCAUGACGCGGCUGUUGUCCUCUCUGACUUCCAGCAGCUCUGAUUACCUGUACAAAACCUGCAUAAGAUUUAGCCCACCAACAUUCUGUCAUGGAGCAGGGAGCAUCUGAUGAGGCCCUGCCAGUCCCUGAGGACAUAUAGGCAGUUAAGUGUUGCUAGGGGAGAGGGUCUCAAAAGGCACUGCCUUUCCCUGAGGAUCUGUGGGCAGUUAGUGGGACCCUUUCUCCAGUGGUAUAGCUAUUGGUGAGUUGUCCUGCUCCUGUAAUAACCCUAAUUGAGCUCAUUGAUUGACCAAGGGAAAGUAGGAGGAGCACUGGUUGAAAAGAGGAGGAUGAUCAGUAGGAGAGAGAGGGCUCAUGGGGGUGAAUGUAGUCAAAAGUACGUUGUAUACAUGAAUGAAAAUGUCCAAGUGGAACCUACUGUUUUGUUAUUAGCAUGUUAAUAUAUGUUAAUAAAAAUGAAACUAAAACAACAACCAAGCAAACAACCUGGCCUACUAAGAAGAUGCCCAUAUGGGGUUUAAUCGGAGGAGGAUUCAACAUCGGAGGAGACUGUUAAAAUAGGACAAGUUGACUAGGGAUGUAGCUCAGUGAGGGAAUGUUUAUCUAGCGUGGACAAAGCCCUGAAAUCAGUCCUCAGAACUGCUAGAUACUGCUUUAAAUGGCAGGUGUAACAUGUUUUCAUCUCGACUGGAAUGUAGCCCAAAGUCCUUGGAAGAACACAAGAACUAUCUACUACACCAUCUGGAUGUUACUUUUUUGAUGGAUCUCCUUCCUUUUUGUCUGCAUUCAUAUAUGUGUCUAUGUAUGCAUUCGCACAGAGAUGUAUGUGUAGUAUACAUAUAUUCUGGCUCUAUGACUGUGUAUAUGUACACAUAUAUUCACAUGUGGCCAAGGUAUAUAAAAUUAUAUACAUGUCUCUUAUAGUUUUCUCUUAUUUUUUUAAAUGUAUGUAUUUAUUUUUACUUUUCACUUUUUUGUUUGUUUUUCCAGACAGGGUUUCUCUGUGUAGCUCUGACUGUCCUGGAACUCACUCUGUAGACCAAGCUGGCCUUGAAUUCAGAGAUCUGCCUACCUCUGCCUCCUCUGCCUCCUGAGUGCUGGGAUUAAAGACGUGUGCCACCACCACCUGGCUUAUUUUUACUUUUUAAAAAAAUAUGUGUUUAUGACUGUUUUACCUGCAUGAAUGUCUCUGCACCACAUGUGUGCAGUGCCUGCAGAAGCCAGAAGAGGGCAUUGCAGAGCUUGGAAUUGAAAUUGUAAAUGCUUGUGAGCCACAUGUGGGUGCUGAGAAUCGACUCCAGUCCUCUAUAAGAGCAGAUGGUGCUCUUACCCACCGAGUCAUCAUCUCUGUAGCCCUGUAUGUGUUCUUUAUUAACACGCAAUUAUGAGAUGAAUUUGAAAUAAGUAACUUAAUUAACCAACUCAGUAUUUUCCAAAAUGAAAAGCAAGAACUACAUCACAAGUCUGAAAUCCGACCAACUCUAAUAGGUAUCACUCCAGAUUCAGAACACUGUGCUAUGGCCUGAGCUUGGAGGUCAAGGGUUCUCUUUAAAUGAAACAUCUGCUGAGUCCCAAACUGUUAGACUUGGAGCAGCAGCAGACCCAGGAACAGGGCUCUCAGUUUUCUCAGAAUGCUGGGCCUUGGCUUCAUCUUGCCUCUUAGACUUCAGGUAUUUGUGUGUGUGGUAGUUUAAAUGAGAUGUCCACUAUAGUCUUGGCAUCUGAUGCUUGGUCCCCAGCUGGUGGCACUGCUUGGGUAGGUUGAGGAGAUGUGGCCUUAUUGGAGGAAGUCUGUCACUGGGAGGGGCCUUCUGAGCUUUGUGCUUGUGGUUCAGGAUAGGAGCCUGCAGCUCCCUGCUCUGGCCACCAUGUCUUAGCUCAGCCAUCGCGGACUGUGACCCUUUGGAACUGUAAGCCCAAAUAGACUUCCUUCCAUGAGUUGCCUUGAUUGUGGUGUUUGUCACUUGAGUAGAAAGUAACUAGGACAAUGUGAUGGUGAGUUGGCAAUUUUUUUUUUUUUGUCUUUGGUGAUGGUGUGCUCGUAUUUUUGUGAUUCUGUUUUAUUUGAAGCUUGAUGAGGUGUUCUUCAGAGAGUUAAGAUAGCAGAAUUGUAAAUGUGAAUUCCUGUGGCCUUACAAAUGGAGUUUGUGAAAUUUUAUUUUAUGUGUUUUGCAUGUAUGUAUAUAAAUGCACCAAUUUUUGUGCAAUGACUGAGGAAGCCAGAAAAGGCAUUGAAUUCCCUUGGGACUAGUUACAGGGGGUUGUGAACUGCCAUGUGGGUGCUGGGAAUUGAAUCUGGUCCUUUGGAAGAGCAUCAAGUGUGCUGCUAACCACUGAGCCAUCUCUCAGGCUCAUAGUAUCAAAAAUUUCUUGAGCUUCUGCAACUGUCUUUCCUCAGAGAUAUUUCAGUACCAACUGGUCUGUUACUGGAUUUGGGGGUCCUUUAAUGGUCACCAGACAAUACCAGGAAAAUCAGGGUCCCCUUUUAGGGUUCUUUGUUGCAUUAAUAAAAGAGUGGAUUCAAAUUAAUUAAUAAUAAAUAAUUAUAUAAAUAAAUAAUUAACAAAUGAUUCAAAUUAAUAAAAGAGUGGAUUCAAAUGUGAACUUAGGACACUUUUACUAGAGUUUAAAAGAAAGCCCUCCCUGGGCAGGUAAGCUGUAAGCCUCAGCUGCUGCUCAGAGGUUGAAGGUGGAGGAGAGAAAGAAAAGUCCAUUCCAUGGAAGCCAGCAUGGAGGUCAGACGUGUGGCAGAGAAGCAGUCACAUGGUAGAAAAAGAGUAAGAAAGCCCACAGUGUUAGGGAAAAGCCAGCAGUGUUAGGAAACCAUGCUUAGAAAAGAGAUAGAAGAAAAGGAAAAUGUAUGCUUUCCGAAUAAUUCAGAAAAGUGGGCAGACUUACUGCUCCACAUGGCUGCAGCUUGUCCGUAAGCUUCUGAUGACUCUUUUUUCCCCAUAUUAAUCUGUGUCUGUGAGAGUGUAUGUGUAUGAGUUCACAUGCGAUAGCACACAUGUGGAGCUCAGAGAAUAAUCCACAGGAGACAGUUCUCUUCUUCUACCAUGUGGGAUUCGGGGGAUUGAACCCAGGUUCAUAGAGGCUUGGAAGUGAAUGCCUGUACUUGCUGAGCCAACUUGUUUGUUUUGGGAUGGUCCCAUGUACUUCAGAAUGGACUUUACCUUGCUUGUAGCCAAAGAUGUCGUCUACAUUUCUGAUUCUCCUGCCUCCACCCUUCAAGUGCUGGGAUUAGAGGAUGAACUAACACAGCCAGGUUAUGUGGGGCUGGAGACGGAACCCAGGGCUCUGUGCAUACCAUGCUAGCAUUCUACCAGCUGACCUGCCCCUCCAGUUCUCAUUUAUUCUUUAAAUACAUGAUGUAGCAUCAAUAUUCUUUCAUGUUAUUAAAUAUUAUUUUAAUAUUUAAUAUAAUUUUUUGGCGGUACAAUGUCUUAUAUAUCUGAACUAUAAUUAAGCAUUUAUGUAUUGUUAAAAGUAUUUUGAACUUUAUAUACAAAUUCCUCAAUAAGCACUGAUGCAUGUAAAUGCUAUUUCCAUUUCUGGUUAAACAUAAAUAAAUGUUUUUAAAAGUUA